This is a non-coding RNA of Mycena latifolia, 93 nucleotides long. Lineage: Eukaryota; Fungi; Basidiomycota; Agaricomycetes; Agaricales; Mycenaceae. The record is from the annotation of a GenBank genome assembly.
GUCUUCGUGGAGUAAUACGCAACUCGCUCCCUCCACGUUUUAUAUGCUCUCAUAUAUCAGGGAAAGUCGGUGGUUCGAAUCCGCCCGAAGACA